GAUGAACGCUGGCGGCGUGCCUAAUACAUGCAAGUCGAGCGAACAGACGAGGAGCUUGCUCCUCUGACGUUAGCGGCGGACGGGUGAGUAACACGUGGAUAACCUACCUAUAAGACUGGGAUAACUUCGGGAAACCGGAGCUAAUACCGGAUAAUAUAUUGAACCGCAUGGUUCAAUAGUGAAAGACGGUUUUGCUGUCACUUAUAGAUGGAUCCGCGCCGCAUUAGCUAGUUGGUAAGGUAACGGCUUACCAAGGCAACGAUGCGUAGCCGACCUGAGAGGGUGAUCGGCCACACUGGAACUGAGACACGGUCCAGACUCCUACGGGAGGCAGCAGUAGGGAAUCUUCCGCAAUGGGCGAAAGCUUGACGGAGCAACGCCGCGUGAGUGACGAAGGUCUUCGGAUCGUAAAACUCUGUUAUUAGGGAAGAACAAAUGUGUAAGUAACUAUGCACGUCUUGACGGUACCUAAUCAGAAAGCCACGGCUAACUACGUG
RNAcentral lists this ribosomal RNA (497 nucleotides) under uncultured bacterium. RNAcentral describes it as "partial 16S ribosomal RNA". It matches the Rfam family "Bacterial small subunit ribosomal RNA", at positions 28 to 507 of the family's 1533-position model. The record is from RNAcentral.